CCUACGGGAGGCAGCAGUAGGGAAUCUUCCACAAUGGACGAAAGUCUGAUGGAGCACCGCCGCGUGAGUGAAGAAGGGUUUCGGCUCGUAAAGCUCUGUUGGUAGUGAAGAAAGAUAGAGGUAGUAACUGGCCUUUAUUUGACGGUAAUUACUUAGAAAGUCACGGCUAACUACGUGCCAGCAGCCGCGGUAAUACGUAGGUGGCAAGCGUUGUCCGGAUUUAUUGGGCGUAAAGCGAGUGCAGGCGGUUCAAUAAGUCUGAUGUGAAAGCCUUCGGCUCAACCGGAGAAUUGCAUCAGAAACUGUUGGACUUGAGUGCAGAAGAGGAGAGUGGAACUCCAUGUGUAGCGGUGGAAUGCGUAGAUAUAUGGAAGAACACCAGUGGCGAAGGCGGCUCUCUGGUCUGCAACUGACGCUGAGGCUCGAAAGCAUGGGUAGCGAACAGGAGUAGAUACCCGAGUAGUC
Molecule: ribosomal RNA, 465 nt
Filed under: uncultured bacterium
Lineage: Bacteria
Description: partial 16S ribosomal RNA
Rfam family: Bacterial small subunit ribosomal RNA
Source: RNAcentral